UUAGUUUCAGAUUUAACGACUAUGUCGUAUUUACGGUACAUCUUGAAUUAUAAUUAUCAAAGUGUUAAAACGCUAAGCACAAUAUAUCUAUCAAAAGAAUAUAAUUACAGUGUGUGAAUAUUAAAUUAAAAUGCGUUUAAGUCAUGUACAUUGAAUAAAAAUCAGUUCUGAGAAAAAAAAGUUUAUUAUUAAAUCCGUAAGCGGUAACACGCUCCGCCACAAUUUAAUUGUGAAAAUAUUUCAACUUACCUCUCAAGUCUCAACCGCAUUAAAACCCCACCACCCUUCUUAGCCUAAGAUCCACACCACCCGUAUCGCCCUGUUACCAUCCCUUAAACUUAUCCUUCAACUCAUAUAUCUUUCUCCUUAAUUCUUCACAUUGAUCUCCAGUACUCUCAUCGAGAUUUACCUCUAAUUUAUUGAUAGCAAAAAAUACAUUAAUCUAAGAUGAACAAUUUGUUUUAUAAUUUGACAAAUAAAGGGAAGCUAUAUCCUUUAUUGCCAUUCAGGGGCGGAUCUACACAUAAUUUUUGGGUGUUCCAGCACCCACUAAAUUCGAUGUGGAAUAAAUAUAAUUACUUAAAAAAAUAUACAAAAAUAGGUAUAAAUUAUAUAAAUGCAUCCACUAAACAAGAAGUUGGUUAGGUGUACUGGCAUUUAGAUUGAUCUAAGUGGUUAGGUGUACUGACAUUUAAAUUGAUCUAAGGCUCUCCAUUGGUAGGUAUGCUUGGGUUCAAACCUGGAUAAGGUGAUUUUUUAUUUUUUUUCUAUAAUAAGCACCCACACUUCUUAAAUCUUGAGUUUGUCACUGUCGUCAUUCCAUCAAAGCAUGGUAAACCAUUAAAAUAACCUCAACCUCCACAUCCAAGUGCUGACGAUCCUCCACAUCUAAGUGUUGACGAUCCUUGUUGCACUCGUCAUGGACAAUUUCACCAACUUUACCAAUCAUAUCAUGAAUAACAAGGUGACGAUAUUUCUGAUCAAACACCUCAUCGCUGUUGUUGAGAUUAUCUUGCAUGGCACCAUAGACGAACGUGUCGAAUGGGAUGCCUGAUCAUCAAGGGAAUAACAAAGAUGAGUGAUUUGGUCUGAGAAUGCUCGUGUUCACAUCCGUCAAGAUUAGAAAAAUCAUUGGAGAUAAAUAGAGAGCUAAAAAUUAAUGGCUAAUGUGGGAGGAGAAUAUCAGAGGUGACUCAAGAGUAAGGCUAGUAAAGUGUUUGUUUUAGGCCAUCAGAAUUUUGAAGCCUCAAGAAAUUUAAUAGUAAAUUUUAUGAUUUCAACUCACUUGAAAUAAUAAUGUAAAUUUUGAAAUACUUUUAAAAAAUCAUUAAACGGAAAGAAA
Molecule: long non-coding RNA, 1342 nt
Filed under: Capsicum annuum
Lineage: Eukaryota; Viridiplantae; Streptophyta; Magnoliopsida; Solanales; Solanaceae
Description: long non-coding RNA (CANN_LNC022020)
Source: RNAcentral